Pygocentrus nattereri (red-bellied piranha) is the source of this 1574-nucleotide long non-coding RNA. RefSeq lists it as uncharacterized. NCBI's taxonomy places the organism in Eukaryota, Metazoa, Chordata, Actinopteri, Characiformes, Serrasalmidae. The record is from RefSeq and is a predicted model, not a curated record. The transcript is spliced from 2 exons.
AGAAGCAGAGGCACAGGAAUUCAGUCUUUAUAGUUUAGACAUGCCUCAGAGCAUUUAUGAUGAUGUGGCCUUCAUUGAGGAUCUGAACAGAAGAGAGCGAGUGGAGAUGGUGGUGGAUAUCUAUGAAAGUGCAGAUGCUGUUAAGAUCAUGAAGAGGCAGAACAUGCUAACGCAGAGAGGAAACCAAGAAUGCAAACCACAGCGGCUUAGAAAAUGGAUGGAUGGAUGUUAUUUGUUCCAGUUUCAGACACACUCCUUGCACAGUCUCUACCAGUCUCUGCUAACCUUCCAGUUGGAGGAAAUAAUACAGGAAGCAGAUGCUACAGACUGGUGCCAUUGUGUCUGGGUCUGCUGUGUUUGCUGGCUGCCAUCGCAGUGCUGUGCAUAAAAGAGAGACCAGUUACCGACCAGUUGCACCGUCCUGAGUGCAGAAAGAGACCAGUUGUAGAAAAAUUACACCAUCCUGACAGCAGAGAAAAACAACGUAAGAUGACUAACAACCUGACCACAGAGACCAGCUUCAACAACCUGAUUACAGAGAAAGACCAGUUACAACAACCUGAUUGACCUUUAGAGGAAGCUCACUAAACCGGAUAAAGAAAAGAUUUCUUUAAAAUACACAAGUCAUGUGUUGAAUUUGGCCAGAGCUGUCUGAACUAAAUAGCUUACCUAAACACUGCCAUCUAUAAAAAGGAAGUGAGGCAUUUGCCCUGAUUUUUAUUAGCUUACUUUAAAAAACUUGAAUCAAAUAAAACUACAAACAGCAGGAAAAGAUCUGAAACACACACUCAAAAAAUCAAAGAGGUGGAAUGAAUAGAAGAACUAACAUUUAGGAAACUGUGGGCUUCUCUGAUGGACCAGAUGAGUAAAUAAACAAAACAAACAAAAAUGAAGGCAAGAAAGCCAAAGCCAGGAGGAUCUAUGAUAUGCUAAGAAAGGUUAGUCAAGACAAAGACCAAGCAGUAGAAAAUCCUAAAAGGCAAUACAGGAAGUUGGGCUAAAGUCUUUGGCCAGCAGCUGGACAGAAGGCUAGGCUGGAAACACAAGAAGAGUGAAGAGCAAGCAAUGGGAAAGUUUAAGACUUUGCAAACUGACACUGACAGGGAUGAGCUGUUUAUGUAUAGUCCUUGAAAUGAAGUGUAAGGGUGCAGCCUGUGCUGCCAGCAGAGGGCGACAGGGGCAGGGCACCACCAGUUCAGGGAACUCCAAUUCCCAGAAGCCUUUAGGCUAAUUAUGACUAAUUUGGCACACCUGUGGACUCCUCUACUUAAGGCCAUGGCAAACAGCAGCCCUUUGUCACACCUUUGUAGAGGGGUGACUGGUAUGGUACUCAGUGUUGAAAAGAAAAAAAAAAAAGAGGAAAAAAAAAAGAACUGAAAACAGAAAUUUCCUUAAUACAACAGGCAGAAAAAAAAGAGAACGGAAAGAAAAACAUGUUGUCCCAAAACUACUUAAACAAGAAUGAGAAGCCACUCUAAGCCACAGUGUUUGUUCUACAAAGAACAAACAGGUGAAACAUAAAGCUGUCCUUCCUCUCAUCGGUGUCAAGCAAUUAAAUGUAUCUUCUCUCCUGA